This 497-nucleotide ribosomal RNA is filed under the name uncultured bacterium. RNAcentral describes it as "partial 16S ribosomal RNA". It matches the Rfam family "Bacterial small subunit ribosomal RNA", at positions 28 to 507 of the family's 1533-position model. The record is from RNAcentral.
GAUGAACGCUGGCGGCGUGCCUAAUACAUGCAAGUCGAGCGAACAGACGAGGAGCUUGCUCCAUUGACGUUAGCGGCGGACGGGUGAGUAACACGUAGGUAACCUACCUAUAAGACUGGGAUAACUUCGGGAAACCGGAGCUAAUACCGGAUAAUAUUUCGAACCGCAUGGUUCGAUAGUGAAAGAUGGCUUUGCUAUCACUUAUAGAUGGACCUGCGCCGUAUUAGCUAGUUGGUAAGGUAACGGCUUACCAAGGCAACGAUACGUAGCCGACCUGAGAGGGUGAUCGGCCACACUGGAACUGAGACACGGUCCAGACUCCUACGGGAGGCAGCAGUAGGGAAUCUUCCGCAAUGGGCGAAAGCCUGACGGAGCAACGCCGCGUGAGUGAUGAAGGUCUUCGGAUCGUAAAACUCUGUUAUUAGGGAAGAACAAACGUGUAAGUAACUGUGCACGUCUUGACGGUACCUAAUCAGAAAGCCACGGCUAACUACGUG